CCUACGGGAGGCUGCAGUGGGGAAUAUUGCGCAAUGGGCGAAAGCCUGACGCAGCGACGCCGCGUGAGGGAUGAAGGUCUGCGGAUCGUAAACCUCGGUCAGCAGGGAAGAACGGUCACGGGGCUAAGCAGCAGUGAAUUGACGGUACCGGCAAAGGAAGCACCGGCUAACUCCGUGCCAGCAGCCGCGGUAAUACGGAGGGUGCGAGCGUUAAUCGGAAUUACUGGGAGGACAGCGCUCGUAGGCGGUAUGUCAAGUCAAGGGGGAAAUCCCCGCGCUCAACGUGGGAACUGCCUUUGAAACUGGCACCCUGGCGUGUGUGCGCGGUUAGUGGAAUUCCCGUUGUAGGCG
This 351-nucleotide ribosomal RNA is filed under the name uncultured bacterium. RNAcentral describes it as "partial 16S ribosomal RNA". It matches the Rfam family "Bacterial small subunit ribosomal RNA", at positions 338 to 681 of the family's 1533-position model. The record is from RNAcentral.